GAAAAGCUCGAAAAGCUCGAAAAGCUCGAAUAUAUAUAUUAAUUAAUUAAAAAUAUUUAUAAAUAUAAUGUAUUUUAAUUAUAUAUAGCGAUAUAGGCUGAGUAAUAUGUGUUUAAUUUAAUUUGGGCCAUUAUUGUUGGGCCAUUAUUUUUGGGCCAUUACAUACACAUUCUCUUUUUCAGACUUUCACAUAACCCUAACAUCAUAACAUUCAAAUUCCUAAAUCCCUAAUUUUGUCCCUUCUUUCUCUCUCUCUCUCGUUCUCCGUCCGACGCUCACCCUAAGUCAAUCCCUAAUUUUUUUCCCCUCUCUCUCUCUCGUUCUCCCGCAGACCCUCACCCAGUCACCCUAAGUCCCCAACUACUUACACCACGACCACGCAGCCGCCACCCGCCAGCCCGCCACUCGGCACCUCGUCGGUCGUUGUCGUCGAACUCGUUCGCCGUCGUCACCCCAACCUCGUCCGGCGAACUCAUCGACCUAUCAGAUCGACCACUCACCAGUCACCACUAAGCUUUUUUGGCUUAGUGACGACGAUGAAUUCCAUCUCAUAAACCUCUUAAAUCUCCAAUUCCACCUCCUUUGCCUAGUUAGGUACGUAAUCUCCUUCUCCUCCCCUCGUUUUAUUCGAUUUAAUCAGAAUUUGGUUCCCCACAUCUAAUUAAAUCCACUUUGUUGUUGUUGUUGAUGAUGAUGAUGAUGAUUGUUGUUGUUGUUGUUUGCUGGGUUUUUUGAUCGUGUUCACUGUUGUUAGGGGUGUUGUUAUAUUUAUUGAUGAUGAUCACUACAACAAAAACGGUCUAUAGCGACACUUUUAAAUGUAGGUACAUAUCAAAAAAGUGCUGCUAGCUAAAAUUACCGACACUUUUAAAAAGUGUUGCUAUAUGUGGGGUCGCUAGAUAUAUAGUGACAGUUAAAGAGUGUCGCUAUAACCUAAAAGAGUGCUGCUAAUUUACCAACACUUAUUUAACCAUUUAGCAACCGCCGAAACUCUAUUUCGUUGGCUGCGGUGGCGGAGGAGGAUGACAGUAAAGGCUCUUCGUCUAGAAUUUCAGUGGAUUGAGUGAAGAGAGAAGAAAAGAUGGUAAUUGAUUUUUCUUUUUUUUUUUCUGUUUGUAAUCGGGCCAAAUGGACUAGGUGUGGUGGGUUGAGUAGAGUAAUCUUUUAUUUUUGGUUGGAUUGAGCUUUAUAUUUAGGCAUUAGUAGAUGUGUUUUUAAGUUUUAGUAUAAAUGGGACACUUACUCAAAAGUGUCCCAAACAUGUGUCCCUAUAACCUAAUUCUGUUGUAGUGGAUGAUGAUGAUGAUGAUGAUGAUGUUAUUAUUGUUUCCAUAUCAUGUUCUAAAAAAAAAUCAUAAUCUUAUUAUUAUUUUAAUAUUUUUAUUAUUGUAAAAUGAGGUGUCUGAGACUCUGAGGUUAGAGGUAUUUUGUUUAUAUUGUUGCAACACAAAAAUAAGUAUUUUGUGCUAUU
RNAcentral lists this long non-coding RNA (1471 nucleotides) under Ananas comosus (pineapple). RNAcentral describes it as "long non-coding RNA (ACOM_LNC012328)". The record is from RNAcentral. Lineage: Eukaryota; Viridiplantae; Streptophyta; Magnoliopsida; Poales; Bromeliaceae.